Molecule: ribosomal RNA, 254 nt
Filed under: uncultured bacterium
Lineage: Bacteria
Description: partial 16S ribosomal RNA
Rfam family: Bacterial small subunit ribosomal RNA
Source: RNAcentral
UACGGGGGGAGCAAGCGUUGUUCGGAUUUCCUGGGCGUAAAGGGCGCGUAGGCGGCCAGCACAAGUCAGUUGUGAAAUCUCCGAGCUUAACUCGGAAAGGUCAACUGAUACUGUGCGGCUAGAGUGCGGAAGGGGCAACUGGAAUUCUUGGUGUAGCGGUGAAAUGCGUAGAUAUCAAGAGGAACACCUGCGGCGAAGGCGGGUUGCUGGGCCGACACUGACGCUGAGGCGCGAAAGCCAGGGGAGCGAACGGG